GCGUUGUUCGUCUAAUGGCUAAGACACGAGAUUGUGAAUCUCGUUAUACGGGUUCGACUCCCGUACAUCGCC
This 72-nucleotide transfer RNA is filed under the name Spirochaetota bacterium. RNAcentral describes it as "Spirochaetes bacterium tRNA-His". It matches the Rfam family "tRNA". From Rfam's summary of the family: Transfer RNA (tRNA) molecules are approximately 80 nucleotides in length. Their secondary structure includes four short double-helical elements and three loops (D, anti-codon, and T loops). Lineage: Bacteria; Pseudomonadati; Spirochaetota. The record is from RNAcentral.